UACGUAGGGGGCAAGCGUUGUCCGGAUUUAUUGGGCGUAAAGAGCGUGUAGGCGGUUUGGUAGGUCCGUUGUGAAAACUCGAGGCUCAACCUCGAGACGCCGGCGGAAACCAUCAGACUAGAGUCCGGAAGAGGAGAGUGGAAUUCCUGGUGUAGCGGUGAAAUGCGCAGAUAUCAGGAGGAACACCGGUGGCGAAGGCGGGUCUCUGGGCCGUAACUGACGCUGAGGAGCGAAAGCAUGGGGAGCGAACAGG
Molecule: ribosomal RNA, 253 nt
Filed under: uncultured bacterium
Lineage: Bacteria
Description: partial 16S ribosomal RNA
Rfam family: Bacterial small subunit ribosomal RNA
Source: RNAcentral